Cyprinus carpio carpio is the source of this 1620-nucleotide long non-coding RNA. NCBI's taxonomy places the organism in Eukaryota, Metazoa, Chordata, Actinopteri, Cypriniformes, Cyprinidae. The record is from Ensembl.
GAGAAGUCACGUACUCAAAAUGUGUUCUAUUCAUAAGGAUAAGUUUCAUUUCAAAAGUUAAAAAUUAAUAUUUCAUGGUAGUGAUCGGUCUCAUAUAUAUAUAUAUAUAAACAGGUUUCAUUUUUAUAUUCAAAAAUGUUUUUGGUAAACUUUAUGGUAUAUUUCAUAUGUAAUUUCACAGUAUUUCUAACUGCGUAGUCAGCUGAGUCUGUUUUGCAUAUGAAGUUGAACUGCACGUAUUGUUCUUUUGUAUCAAUAUUUCUUAGAAUUAUCUGUAUGAUACUUUGAAUCUAAAAGAGGAAGAAGUCCAAAAUCGAGACAUUGACUGGACUAUUUUUAAAGGUGCGAGUGCAUGCUGUCACAGAAAUAUUCUGCAUAUAUUUACCACACACGACUGGUUCUAAGGGUGACUCUUCGAUGUGACUUCUGCAACAGUGCAGCUCAUUGACAUUCUGGGAGUGGUUGCUGUGCUCGUGGCUGGACAUCAGUGUUUCAUCGCAUCAUCAUAAUAUCACUCGUUAACUAAUUCUACGUCAUCUGAGAGACCUGUGCUAAAGUCUACCAGCUGAUAUAUAUAGAUUUACAUAUAGAUCAAAAUAUAUUUUUAUUCUCCCAUUUAUACCAGUAGUCAUGAGGAAAUCUAUACCUUGCAGGUGAAGGGUAAGGAAAGGUAUGAGAUGUUGAAAACGAUCAACAAAAGUUUGGAAAUUAACGACAUGGUACCAUAAGGACAAAUAUCUUCAACUACUAUCUGCCAAGGGCAAGAAGAGAAAGAACGAUGAUAGAGUUUAGAGUUGGGAAAGAUGGAAGGCUGUGGUAAGUCCUCAACCCAGCAAAAGUCCAGGGGACGCCAGGGGUCGAAUUUCCUUAGGAGUUCUCGUCUGGCCAUCUUGGUGAAGAUCUUUGUUAAUUUCAAGGUAGCUGGGGUUAGAGAGGUAUCUACAGUACUAUCUAUCUGAAAUCUUGCUAUUAAUUUUCUAUAUUUUCAUGUAUGUAUCAUGUAUUUUUCCUUUUGAAUUACUCUGUAUUUCUGUAUUUUUGGUUUUGAUUUAAGGAAAAGGUUGUGGCGAGUCUUUUGAUAAGACUCGAGUGGGGGAUUGGUGUGUGGAGAUUCUAAGAAAUCCACAUGGUGAUAGAGAUUCUGAGAAGAAGUCCAUGUAUUUAAAUUAAACCCAAGUGUUGUUGAGAGAUUCUGAGAAGUCACGUACUCAAAAUGUGUUCUAUUCAUAAGGAUAAGUUUCAUUUCAAAAGUUAAAAAUUAAUAUUUCAUGGUAGUGAUCGGUCUCAUAUAUAUAUAUAUAUAUAAACAGGUUUCAUUUUUAUAUUCAAAAAUGUUUUUGGUAAACUUUAUGGUAUAUUUCAUAUGUAAUUUCACAGUAUUUCUAACUGCGUAGUCAGCUGAGUCUGUUUUGCAUAUGAAGUUGAACUGCACGUAUUGUUCUUUUGUAUCAAUAUUUCUUAGAAUUAUCUGUAUGAUACUUUGAAUCUAAAAGAGGAAGAAGUCCAAAAUCGAGACAUUGACUGGACUAUUUUUAAAGGUCAGGUGUUAUUAGUGAUAGCCAGAUGACGACUUAUGUCUAGAACAACAGUAUAUAAGAUAGACUCUGCAAAAUAGAAUAG